GAUGAACGCUAGCGGCAGGCUUAACACAUGCAGGUCGAGGGGCAGCGCGGGAUAGCAAUAUCCUGGCGGCGACCGGCGGAAGGGCGCGUAACGCGUGAGCGACAUGCCCGUUGCCCGGGGACAACCGGUGGAAACGCCGACUAAUCCCCGAUGGGAUAUUGUGCCGCAUGGCACGAUAUUGAAAGUUACGGCGGCGACGGAUUGGCUCGCGUCCGAUUAGCUUGUUGGCGGGGUAACGGCCCACCAAGGCUGCGAUCGGUAGGGGUUCUGAGAGGAAGGCCCCCCACAAUGGGACUGAGACACGGCCCAUACUCCUACGGGAGGCAGCAGUGAGGAAUAUUGGUCAAUGGGCGGAAGCCUGAACCAGCCAUGCCGCGUGCGGGAAGGAGGCCCUAUGGGCUGUGAACCGCUUUUGCCUGGGGGCAAUAAGGGCGUCGCGCACGUCCGAUGAGAGUACCAGGCGAAUAAGCAUCGGCUAACUCCGUG
RNAcentral lists this ribosomal RNA (486 nucleotides) under uncultured bacterium. RNAcentral's name for it is "partial 16S ribosomal RNA". It matches the Rfam family "Bacterial small subunit ribosomal RNA", at positions 28 to 507 of the family's 1533-position model. The record is from RNAcentral.